AAUAUUGGAUAAUGGGGGCAACUCUGAUCCAGCCAUGCCGCGUGUGUGAAGAAGGUCUUCGGUUUGUAAAGCACUUUAAGCUGGGAGGAAGGGCUUUAGGUUAAUACCCUGAAGUUUUGACGUUACCAACAGAAUAAGCACCGGCUAACUCUGUGCCAGCAGCCGCGGUAAUACAGAGGGUGCAAGCGUUAAUGGGAAUUCCUGGGCGUAAAGCGGGCGUAGGUGGUUCAGUAAGAUGGGUGUGAAAUCCCCGGGCUUAACCUGGGAACUGCUUUCAUAACUGCUGAGCUAGAGUACGGUAGAGGGUAGUGGAAUUUCCUGUGUAGCGGUGAAAUGCGAAGAUAUAGGAAGGAACACCAGUGGCGAAGGCGACUACCUGGACUGAUACUGACACUGAGGUGCGAAAGCGUGGGGAGCAAAC
Molecule: ribosomal RNA, 421 nt
Filed under: uncultured bacterium
Lineage: Bacteria
Description: partial 16S ribosomal RNA
Rfam family: Bacterial small subunit ribosomal RNA
Source: RNAcentral